RNAcentral lists this ribosomal RNA (451 nucleotides) under uncultured bacterium. RNAcentral's name for it is "bacterial SSU rRNA". It matches the Rfam family "Bacterial small subunit ribosomal RNA", at positions 29 to 524 of the family's 1533-position model. The record is from RNAcentral.
AGCGAACGCUGGCGGCAGGCUUAACACAUGCAAGUCGAGCGGGCGUAGCAAUACGUCAGCGGCAGACGGGUGAGUAACGCGUGGGAACGUACCUUUGGUUCGGAACAACUGAGGGAAACUUCAGCUAAUACCGGAUAAGCCCUUACGGGGAAAGAUUUAUCGCUGAAAGAUCGGCCCGCGUCUGAUUAGCUAGUUGGUGAGGUAACGGCUCACCAAGGCGACGAUCAGUAGCUGGUCUGAGAGGAUGAUCAGCCACAUUGGGACUGAGACACGGCCCAAACUCCUACGGGAGGCAGCAGUGGGGAAUAUUGGACAAUGGGCGAAAGCCUGAUCCAGCCAUGCCGCGUGAGUGAUGAAGGCCCUAGGGUUGUAAAGCUCUUUUGUGCGGGAAGAUAAUGACGGUACCGCAAGAAUAAGCCCCGGCUAACUUCGUGCCAGCAGCCGCGGUAAU